GAUUAGUUUUGCUACAUGUCCAGUGGAUUUUUUUUUAUCACCAUAGUCAGUCAGACGUUAAUUUGUUAUUUACAGUCUUGUAGGGUUUAGUACUUCGUAACAGAAACACAAAGAUGUGAUAGCACAGGUGUAAUGCCCGUCGGUGUUCUACUGGUUUAUGGCACCGACUCGUGCACCAACAGGAAACACAACGUUCCACCUUAAAAGCUGCCGGUAGCAUUGUAGCUGUUUUGUUAGCUAACGUUAACUGAUACAUAGGAAGAGGCAGCAGACAUCUCAUUUCUUUUCAUUUUUGGAACAGCCAAAACUGUAAACAUUUCCAGUGAUGUAACGUUGGCGUUAGUUAAAGACAACAAUAAAACCAGGCCCAUCUCGGGCUAGCUAGCAGGUUGGGUUCUACUGAUACUAGUUCGCUCCGGUGAUACCUUCCUCAACUUUCAUUUCUGGGAUCUCCACCAGCCAGGGGGACGUGCCUCGUCACUGACACACACAUUCUUCUUCUUAUGUGAUCACGUGUUAGACACAGUUCCAGCCGAAGCAGUUAAAUGUGAACUACCAGCUGCAGGACGUGGGGAGAACCGGAUCUCAUUUCAAGGAAGAGACGAUGAUCCAGAUGUUUUUAAGACUAGAUUGAAGAUACCUUCCCUCAGCUAAAAGACACAGGAGCAUUUGUAUUACUGAGAAUCUCAGGUACAACACAAAGCCGUAACCUGUGCUCUAUCCCAGACGCUGGUUAUACAGCGAGAUACCUUCACAGCCAUCUGAGUGGAAUUGGUCAAGCAAUGGUCUAUAUAAGGCUACUGCAGAGAGGUAUUGAUCUGGAAGAUAGUCCAACAACCCUCCAGCAACAAGGACCACUCUUAAAAUGCCUGAGUUGUGACACAAACAUUCCCUUAAAAUGAGGAACCGCACCGUUAACUGCACAAGCUUGAUGGCAGUGCUGAACUGACAGAAACGUCCUCAAGCUUGCUCUGUGUUGGGACCUGCCAGGGGACACACAAACCAAUCGAGCUCCUUCUGUUCGACGCUGUUGUAAUACAAACCUCAAGUCAAGCUGCUGAGGGAAGGGCUCAAGGAGACUAUGGUGUGGCCACUUCUGACAGAAGGACCAGCCAUGCUUCCUCUGUUCUUACCAAGAGAAUCCCAGACCGCUCCCAGUUGUGAGAAAGGAUAGUUUGGUCUGGCAUGGAUGAAGAUGAGGAGGAAGAAUGCUCUUGAGGACCAGUGCAGAGAGGCAGGGUACCUUCAGUCCUCCAUUGAACUUGUGCAUCAUCCCAUUGUUUUUGUGCAUUCAGUGUACAAAGAUACUGACGCCCAGCAUGAGUUCCAGUUCCUUUGAUAACCACAGCUGCAGGGGUGAACGGUUGCCUGCUGUUCAGUCCUUGUUGAAUCCAUGCCACCACCAGUGACCAGAGCUGAUGGUGAA
This is a long non-coding RNA of Monopterus albus (swamp eel), 1426 nucleotides long. RefSeq lists it as uncharacterized. The record is from RefSeq and is a predicted model, not a curated record. The transcript is spliced from 9 exons. NCBI's taxonomy places the organism in Eukaryota, Metazoa, Chordata, Actinopteri, Synbranchiformes, Synbranchidae.